GAUGAACGCUGGCGGCGUGCCUAAUACAUGCAAGUCGAGCGAACAGACGAGGAGCUUGCUCCUCUGACGUUAGCGGCGGACGGGUGAGUAACACGUGGAUAACCUACCUAUAAGACUGGGAUAACUUCGGGAAACCGGAGCUAAUACCGGAUAAUAUAUUGAACCGCAUGGUUCAAUAGUGAAAGACGGUUUUGCUGUCACUUAUAGAUGGAUCCGCGCCGCAUUAGCUAGUUGGUAAGGUAACGGCUUACCAAGGCAACGAUGCGUAGCCGACCUGAGAGGGUGAUCGGCCACACUGGAACUGAGACACGGUCCAGACACCUACGGGAGGAAGCAGUAGGGAAUCUUCCGCAAUGGGCGAAAGCCUGACGGAGCAACGCCGCGUGAGUGAUGAAGGUCUUAGGAUCGUAAAACUCUGUUAUUAGGGAAGAACAAAUGUGUAAGUAACUAUGCACGUCUUGACGGUACCUAAUCAGAAAGCCACGGCUAACUACGUG
RNAcentral lists this ribosomal RNA (497 nucleotides) under uncultured bacterium. RNAcentral describes it as "partial 16S ribosomal RNA". It matches the Rfam family "Bacterial small subunit ribosomal RNA", at positions 28 to 507 of the family's 1533-position model. The record is from RNAcentral.